AGCGGUAAACUAAUAGACCAAUACUGUUUAGUGAAAACAAACUGGAUAAAUAAAUAGUCCAGAGAGGACUCUCAGAUAAGAAUUAUCAAAUAUUGGAAGAAGGCCGUGGAAUCUAAUUUUCUGGAGAAAUUUAAAUUAGAGAGGAUUGAGUCUUACUUAAGUUAGGUAAACCUCUUUCCACAGGCUGUGCCUAAAUUAAUACCUUCACAUAAUGUCUUCCAGCCCAGUGACUAGAGUACUUUUUAAAACUGGUUUAUUGUGCAUGAAUGUUCAUUGCAGCAUUAUUCAUAAUAGCUAAACAGUGGAAACAACCUAUAUGUCCAUCACCUAAUGAAAAGGUAAAUAAAAUGUGAUCAGUUUAUAAAACAGAAUGUUAUUUGCCCAUAAAAAUACAUACUGAUAUUUAUAUACAUGCUACAGCAUGGAUGAACCUUGAUAACAUUGUGCUAAGUGAGCAAAGCCAGACGCAAGGGACCACAUACUGUAUGAUUGCAUUUACUAUAUGAAAUGUCAAGAAUAGGCAAAUUCAUAGAGAUGGAUAGUAGAUUAAUUGUUGCCUGGUGAUAGGGAAGGGGCAGAAAUGAGGUGUGAUGGGUAUUGGGCAUGGGUAUUUUGAGGGAGGUGAUGAAGCAAAUGUUCUAGAAUUAGACAGUGGUUGUGGUUGCACAGCCCUGUGAAUAUGCUAAAAAACCACUGAAUUGUAUAUUUUUAAAAGGGGAACAUAUCUCCAUAAAGCUGUUAUGAAUAUAAGUUUAUGUUAGUUGUGUAAUAUCUUUGUCACUUGAAAUAUUUGUUCCUUAUGGUCUGUAUGUAUCUUGACUAGUUUGAGGCAUAUUUGGCUAUCAUCAUGUUCGGAUGCUUAUGCUUUAAUUAUGGAACCUCUGAGUUUUUCCUUUUUAUGCUGUUUCAGUGAAUGCCCCAGCCCUGCACACUUUGGAAACUAAAUCAAGUCUGCCAAUGGUGCAUGGUAAGUUUCAGUAAUAGUCUCAGCGUUUUAUGUGCAGUUGCCACCCUGAGUUGGAUAACUUAUUAACCAAAAGUGAUUAUGUGGAGGUAAUUAAUAAUAAAACAGGAAACAUUUUAGUGAUUGCAAAACAGCUAUUAAAACUGCAGUCUUCAUGUGUAAUAUUGUUGUAAACUGGACAUACCUCCCAAAGUCUUAAAGUAUAAAAGGUGUAUAUAGGUAUAAAAGGUUGCCAGACUCACAAGUAGAGAUUUUAACUUUGGGUAGUGUCUUGGUUAUUUAUGAUUUUUGUGGAAAGUAGUAGGUGUUGGGUAAGAAUGAGGGUGACCUGCUACCAGACCAGCCAACCAGCACAUGCCACAGGGCGUAUGUGGUUGUUUUUAUAACUUUCAAUGUGGCAGCAAGUCACCUUUUCUAAACAAACAGUUUGAAUGACUGGUUGGGAAAAUCUAGAAAAGACAUGUGAUGGAAACUAAAGGAAAUAGGUAGGAACCACUGGGUGAAAUCAUUACCAGGGUUCAGUUCUUGGACCAGAUCAAAAGGGUGAUAAUUGUUAUUAACAUGAUCCAAUAGAUGGGCUGAAUAUUUGUAGCCGUAUUUUACUUUUUAUACAGUUAAAGUGCUUACAGUUUUUAUAGUAUGUUCUUUAAUGUGAUGUUUUCCUGUGCUCUGUUGGAUAUUACAAAUGAAUUAAGAUGGGAGAAGGGCCAUCUUUUUCCAGUCUCAUAUACAGUUGCUCUGGAAUCCAAGGAUUAUUUCACUCUUCUUUCAUUUUUGAUCUUUUAAAAAGGUUACACUUAAAUCCAUGAUCUAACUGGUCAGUAUGGUGGCACUUUUUGUCUUCAUAGAUAUUGUGAUCUGUAUACCAUGAACUUUAGUAAUAAUCCUUUUUACUCAUCACUGACUCUUGAAGUGUUUAUUGCACCUUAUUUUUUUCCCGAAGAUCAUUUCAGGUGGGUCAGUUGUCUUGAGUAUGUGAUCACAAUACGUAAUGUGUAAAUUCUCCACAUAUUGAUCUUCUUAUUUACAAGUGUUCAGAGCAUGCAGUUUUUUCCUUUAGACCAGUAACAGAUAAAAGCACACUGGACAUAAAUAAAUUUGCUUUAAUAUUGAAUAUAUAAGAAAAGUAUCUAGCAAUCAUUCUGUAUUCAUAUUAUUUUAUGUCAGGUCUAAAAUCUCUCUGUUGUGUCCCUUUGUAAAGCAUUGCUGGCCAUUUCUCUUUUGUACUUCAACAGUGUAUUUUAGUUUCUUUUACUUCCCCACCCCUCCACUUUGUUAUUGUUAGCUUUCUGUAUGACAUCACACAAGGUUCCUAGUUUCUUUGUCAUAUAUUUUUGUUGCUAACUAAAGGACACCCUGGUAGGUACAUUAAAGCUGUCUGGGGUUAAUUCAAGGGUCCGGACAAAUUGAUCACUUCUAAAGCAUGUGUUCAUGGGGACCCUACCCUCACUAGCCCAGAGCUGCAUGAAUCAGUCAUGCCCCCUUCCUGGCAUCUGCUGGGAUUGAAAUGCUAGUUUUAAAUGCCAGCCAGACCUGGCACAGGGCCUACAGCCCUUGGAUGGGGAUCAAAGCUUAUUCGUGAGCAUCUCAGUGGGCAGGAGCUAGGAAGAGACUUGGCCAGGGCCCGCCAACGUCCCCCACCCCGUCAGGCCAGCUUCCCCAGGGCGGCAGGGGCAGGGCAGUUUAGUCAUGGAUUGCGUAAUGUUUAUUCGCCUGUUCACUCUCUGUCCUUUGUUCCAUCUCGAAGCUUGAUGAGGUUCUUUACCAUGAAAAAUCUCACAAUUUCUUACCAUUGUAGGUCGGGUCCCCUGGGAAACAGACUGAUGCGGAAGUUUACAGGUGGGAGGUGGGGGUGCCCUUGGACAGCACCUGUGAGAGAAGCAGUGUUGGGCGAAGGGAACGUUGAACCUAGACGCAGCCACAGUGGAGGCCUCAGCCAGCCCUGCUUCAGAGCUGCAGAGCUGGGAUGAGUGCUCCGGCUUGUCCUCCACUGAGGCAGGGGUGGGCCAUUGCCCCUUGCACUGAUUUGUCAUCUGAUGGGGGUUGCCCCAAAGAAAGGGUGAGCUAAAGCAGCCUGGAAGGGACUCCACUGUGAGCUGCUAGGAGCCAACAUUGCCAGCACGUCUGUCCUGAGAGGAUCUAGGUAAAAUGGGAACCCUGAUGGCUCCCUGCUUUCAACUCUGCUACACAAGCUAAACGGUACAGGCAGUAGGUUCUGAUUCUAAGGCAGUCGAUAGGAUGAAACACGGGUUCGGGAGAAGAUAAACAAUCAUGCUUGAUUCCCAUCCCCGGUAUGCAUUUUUUUUCUGGACAAACCUCAAAUAAAUUUUUGUAGUAUUUUCACCACUGGAGAUCACUUUGCUCUAUGCUUAUGGAGUAGUGACUAAAUGGUGGUAUUAGGAUGCCCAGAAAAUAAAGUAUACUUUGUUGCUGUUAAACUGACCCAUACACCAAUUGCUUAGGUUGCCUGGGCUGAUAAUGUGGCCCACUUUUAGAGCGAUGAGUGCAGUGAGGAUGCAAAAUAACCGCUUUUCCCAAAGUCUAUGGGCACCUGCUAGGUUCUACCUACAUGUAAAGCCCUCCUUUAAUUUGGUCUAUAAAUUGUGAGGGGCUUAUGUAUGCAUGACUUUAAUUGUAUAUAGCUACAAUGAGGACCACAAAAACUGGAAACUCUUUUUUUUUUUUUUUUUUUUUUUUUUUUGAGACUGGGCAUUUCUCUGUCGCCCAGGCUGGAAUGUGGUGAUAUGAUCAUAGCUCACUGCAGCCUCAACUUUCUGGGCUCAAGUGAUCCUCCCACGUAGUUGAGACUGCAGGGGUGCACCACCAUACCUGACUAAUUUUUUGAUUUAUUAUAUAGACGGCAUUUCAUUAUGUUGCCCAGGCUGGUUUCAAACACCUGGACUCAAAUGAUCCUCCCACCUCAGCCUUCCAAAGUGCUAAGACCACAGGUGUGAGCCACAGCUCCCACUUAGAAACAUUUUUAUUAGACUUUACAGUUAUUAUUAUGUUUUGUUCUCAAAGCAAGUAUUCUACAUCUUGAAAUACUGAAACUUAACACAAGCAAUAGUUUACUGUCCAAUACAUGACAGGUGGUAUGCUCUAGACUUCUGGUGUAUUGUGUCUCUUGAUGGAAAGAAAGAUGGCUUCCCCCUCUGGACACCACUGGCCCAAAUAGUGUUGCAGAAGUGGGAUGGGGACUGUUGAAAGGAAGUCUCAGUUCAGUGGGAUUCCACCCUCUAAAGGAGAAUGGGCCUGAUCCCUGUCAGGUGACCAUGCUUAUGUGCAGUCACAAGGGGAAAUGUUUGGAUAUGCCAACAGGAUCUCCUGGACAUACAUCCUGGAAAAGCUCAGGAGAGUCUUCAGUGAACAUGUCUUUGACAGGAGUUAACAUGCCACAUGUAGUUAUCUGUUUCUCCAGCGGUGUUCCGCCACUCUUGCCUUCCUUCCUUCACUGACCACUGGGUAAUGACAACUGUGGACCACUCCUGCAUGACAGAGAUAUAGAAAUGAAUCAGAAACGAAGCCUGUCCCCACAGAACUUACAGCUUAUAAAGGAGACCACAUGCUUAUAAUUAUGGUGCAAGGUGAGAGCCACUGAGAAAUGAAAUGGGUAUCCAGGCAGGGGAGAGAUUUUCUCCAUUUGGGAGACUCUGGGAAGACUUCCUGGUGUAGCUGACAUUUGGCCAUUUGAGCCGAGUAGGAGGUGAAUAUGUCGGGAUGGCAUCCUAGGCAAAGCAAACAGUAAGAAGGAAAAGGUGGCAGGAAAGCACUAGAUGUGAAUUAGCAGUUUAGAGUAUUACUUGGCCAUGCAUAGAGAAGAGAAGAUGUGAGGGAAGUGAGGUUGGUUGAGGGCGUUCAUGGCAGCUGUUGAGUGCCAGGCUGCAGCUGUCCAGGGUCGUUCUUGGGGCAGUUUGUAGCCGCUGAGUGUUCCUGAGGCUGGGUGUGCAGAAUUGGAGAGCUGGGCUAUGGGAGGCUUGGCCUGACCAGAGCGUCUCCAAAGCAUCUGAGAUGGGGAGACCAGUUGUUGGUGUGGGUGAUCCUGCACUUGAGAUUCCUCCCCGGGAGUCUGCUUUGUGGUGACGAGACUGGAGAAAGAGUGGACAGACCAGCGGUUUGGUGGAGUUGGCAGAAAGGCUGACUGGGGACCAGGGCCAGGACCAAGGAAAGUCAGAGCACAGUGAACUCUGAUAAUGGGUGGACAGCGGUGGCAUUUGGAGAAGUCAGAAAGACAAGCCCAGUGAGCGCCAGUAGGCAGGCAUCAUCACUUUGUGGACAAGUCCCCAGACUUUGGAAGCAGGCAGUCCAGAUUCACAGCCCACCCCUAAGCCAUGGGCUUAGGGGCUUUGCCUGCCAAGUGCAGAGAACAGCUGUGGCUACCGCAGUGGCCUUUGUGAUGGUCCAGCAAGGUACAAGCCACUGAGUAAGCUCUGGCCAGUGUUGGCUUCUAAGGUAGGCACAAAGAGUGUA
This 5431-nucleotide long non-coding RNA is filed under the name Pan troglodytes (chimpanzee). Its description in RNAcentral is "long non-coding RNA NONPTRT004564". Lineage: Eukaryota; Metazoa; Chordata; Mammalia; Primates; Hominidae. The record is from RNAcentral.